This 426-nucleotide ribosomal RNA is filed under the name uncultured bacterium. RNAcentral's name for it is "bacterial SSU rRNA". It matches the Rfam family "Bacterial small subunit ribosomal RNA", at positions 355 to 776 of the family's 1533-position model. The record is from RNAcentral.
UCGAGGAUCUUCGGCAAUGGACGCAAGUCUGACCGAGCGACGCCGCGUGCGGGAUGAAGGCCUUCGGGUUGUAAACCGCUGUCAGUUGGGAGGAAAUCACAUGGGGUUCUCUCCAUGUGUUGACCUAUCUUCAGAGGAAGGACGGGCUAAGUUCGUGCCAGCAGCCGCGGUAAGACGAACCGUCCUAACGUUAUUCGGAAUUACUGGGCUUAAAGGGUGCGUAGGCGGCCCUGUAAGUUGGGUGUGAAAUCCCUCGGCUCAACCGAGGAAUUGCGCCCAAUACUGCAGGGCUAGAGGAAGAUAGAGGUGAGCGGAACUUGUGGUGGAGCGGUGAAAUGCGUUGAUAUCACAAGGAACACCUGUGGCGAAAGCGGCUCACUGGGUCUUUUCUGACGCUGAGGCACGAAAGCUGGGGGAGCGAACGGG